UUAUUUAUACAUACAUUUCUCCAAAUCUGCACUGAUGAAGAAACAACUUCGUAUACAUCUUGGAUGACCUGAGGAUAAAUAUAUUUUCAGCAAAUUUUUUAUUUUUGGGUGCACUGUUCCUUUAAGCCAAUAAAUACAGAAAAUGUUCUAGCUGUAAAUGAAAGUUUUAUUCCCCCUGAGACCCAGGCAUAGACCUUCGAUACUGAUACUGUUUUGUAAUCAUCACUGAAAUCGGACUAAUUUUCAAAUUGUUUGUCGUAAAAAUAUAUUACAGAAAAACGGGGGGUUCGGUUUUAGCAAUAAAUAAGUAGUAGAGUGAAUUCAGGUAAAUUGGGACUUUUUUUUCUAUUGAGAAAACUGGACCUCUUAUCCUGAACUAACCCUAAAUAAAUUCCAUAAAACAUUAAUCCUGCUGGGAACCAUAAAAAUAGUAUUGUGAUUUUUUUUAUGUCAUUACAUUGGUUGGAGCAUAAGAAACAAAAUGAGAAAAAAUAAAAAAUAAAAUUGAUAUUUUAUUAAUAUAUUAUUAUAUGCCCUUUGUGGAGGACACCAGGGCUGGCUUCAGACCCAACAAAACUCUUUUAAAACGGAAACGGUGGUGCAUUGAACACUCUGUUCUGAUGGCACUAGAGUUGCAACUACGGCAGCUGAGAAGGCCAUUCUUUGUGUUCCUUUUGAAUUUUCAGAUCCUAAUGAAAUCAGUAUAAAUACAUGUUUAAUCCUGAAAAAAAAAAUUUUCAUUGUUACAGACACUGCCCUUGCCAUCCAGAAUAAAAGAGAACAUCCCAAUCGAGUGAAGGGACUUGUGGAUACUGUGGUUCCUAAUUACUGUGAUCCAACAUUUGCCUCGCAUUUCAGGAUGAAAAGACAAGCAUUUCAGCUGUCCAGCAGCUGGGAUUUCUCCUUCAUCCCUGCAGUGGGAUGGAAAAUGAUGUCACCGAUGCUGAUGCUUCUGCAGCUAGCAGAAAAGUGCCAUUGGUACCGAUUUGUGAAGAGCUUCUUCCUGAUUGAGCUCAGGAAGAUGAACAGCUGGGAGAACCAAUCAUCAUGGAGAAGAGGUGGGUCUUUUAAGUGAUAAAAAAGGGAAGUGAUGUGUGGCCAAGUAUGGUUACCCAUACUAGGAAUUUGUGCUCUGCAUUUAACCCAUCCAAGUGUACACACACACACUUGGUCCAACUCUCUAUCCAUUAGGCCACAACUGACUUUUAACUUCCCCCUGACCAAUAAUCAUGGGUUCAUCAGGGUUAAAAUAUGAUGGCACUGACUGAGCAUCAUAUUUCAUUUGUGUAUCUGUUCCAAAGCACAGCUGGUUAACAUAUAUGGAUUUUCAUCUAGUUUUUAUAUAAUUUUAGAUUUAUGAUGUGGUUUAGAUUUAGAUGUAUUAAUGGUUAGAAUCAUUUAAUGCAUUUCAUGUAACUAAAAUAUGGGUUAUUUUUGCAUUGUCCAUCCAAAUAAAAGCAAAUCUCUAAUAAAAGGUAAUAUACUGCUACUAUUAUAUCUAGAGACCAGAAUUACCUGUAACACCCUAAAAAUCAUCCACAAUAGCCUAGCAGCUCCCUGUAAUAUAGUGGCUUCAACCUUUGUACAAAAUCUAGUUGGAAUUAUAAUUCAGAGCCACAGAUAUGAUGCAUACCACACCGCCACUCAAAACUAGAUGCAUCUUUUAUGGAUCUGUAGCACCAGAGGAAUUCUAAUAAGCUAUUUCAUGCAUCACUGUUCACAGUGUGAGUCUGUCUUCUGUAUGUCCUUAUGCUACUGCGAACACAUGAACAGUAUUGAUUUAUGACAUCUUCUGGUUUCUCUCUUUGCAUGGAGUCAGCGGUCACAUGUGGAUCAUGGAUGUUAGAACUCCAUGUCUGACUGACUGAAGUAUGUAGUUCUGUUACCAUGGUGAGCAUGGAAUCCAGCUCAGCCAGACAGAGCAUCUGAUUGGCUGG
This 1937-nucleotide long non-coding RNA is filed under the name Carassius auratus (goldfish). RNAcentral describes it as "lncRNA (ENSCARG00000041707.1)". Lineage: Eukaryota; Metazoa; Chordata; Actinopteri; Cypriniformes; Cyprinidae. The record is from RNAcentral.